Benincasa hispida (wax gourd) is the source of this 791-nucleotide long non-coding RNA. RefSeq lists it as uncharacterized. The record is from RefSeq and is a predicted model, not a curated record. Lineage: Eukaryota; Viridiplantae; Streptophyta; Magnoliopsida; Cucurbitales; Cucurbitaceae.
UUCAGCUUAGUAUUUUUCUACUAUUUCCUUUCACUAUUUUUAUUUUCUACAUCCUCUUUGAAGCUCAUCAGAGUGAUGUUAUUUCAUUCUCAAAGAGAUUAACUGACUUAUUUGUUUUUUUGUUUCAGAUGUGAUCAUCAACGGUCAAGAAGAAGAGACUUCAAUUUGACUCAUCUGUUGUAACAAAUCUCCACCUUGAGACAAAUUGUUCUCUGAGGCUUCUCUUCUAGUGUCUAUUUUGCAGAUUAAUCGCAGGACUUCAUUCGCAUAUGCGGAACCCCUAUCCAAUGAACAAACAAUUGGUCGCAUGUCUCAGGAUCUUUGAGCUGGCACCAGCGGAUCGCUUGGCAAGUAUUCAAAAGAUUGAUCAUGAUAGAAUUGCUAACAUUCUUACCUACCACGUUAGACGAUAGUGAUUUAUCUGAGCGGGAAUCCCACCAAUAGUCUGCGCACGACUCUAUAAAUAGAGUCUUGACACCAUGAAGAAAGAGAACAAUUUUAGAUAGAGAGAGAGAGAUUUUCAUGAGAGAAAAUUUCACUUCCAUACUUCACCCCGAUUCUUCAUCGAAGCCUUACCGGAGCAAGAGUUUGAGAAAGUCUUCUUCAUUCACCUAACCAUUAUAUCACCAGAAGCCUUGACAUUCAUCUAUGGGAAGGAAGAGAUUGCUAACAAUCCUUACCUUAUCUCUUCAAUCCUUUAGUUGUGGUAUUGCAUUUUGUUUAAAAUAUUGCUCAUCUGUGUAUCCAACAAUAGUAUUUCUAUUUCAAUAUCAUCAUGUCCACUUUUAUCA